GACGAACGCUGGCGGCGUGCCUAAUACAUGCAAGUAGAACGCACAGGAUGCACCGUAGUUUACUACACCGUAUUCUGUGAGUUGCGAACGGGUGAGUAACGCGUAGGUAACCUGCCUGGUAGCGGGGGAUAACUAUUGGAAACGAUAGCUAAUACCGCAUAAGAACAUUUACUGCAUGGUAGAUGUUUAAAAGGUGCAAGAGCAUCACUACCAGAUGGACCUGCGUUGUAUUAGCUAGUUGGUGAGGUAACGGCUCACCAAGGCAACGAUACAUAGCCGACCUGAGAGGGUGAUCGGCCACACUGGGACUGAGACACGGCCCAGACUCCUACGGGAGGCAGCAGUAGGGAAUCUUCGGCAAUGGGGGGAACCCUGACCGAGCAACGCCGCGUGAGUGAAGAAGGUUUUCGGAUCGUAAAGCUCUGUUGUUAAGGAAGAACGUGUGUGAGAGUGGAAAGUUCACACAGUGACG
This 472-nucleotide ribosomal RNA is filed under the name Streptococcus constellatus. RNAcentral's name for it is "bacterial SSU rRNA". It matches the Rfam family "Bacterial small subunit ribosomal RNA", at positions 28 to 474 of the family's 1533-position model. Lineage: Bacteria; Bacillati; Bacillota; Bacilli; Lactobacillales; Streptococcaceae. The record is from RNAcentral.